CCUACGGGGGGCUGCAGUGGGGAAUAUUGCACAAUGGGGGAAACCCUGAUGCAGCGACGCCGCGUGAGUGAAGAAGUAUUUCGGUUCGUAAAGCCCUAUCAUCAGGGAAGAAAAUGACGGUACCUGACUAAGAAGCCCCGGCUAACUCCGUGCCAGCAGCCGCGGUAAUACGUAGGGGGCAAGCGUUAUCCGGAUUUACUGGGCGUAAAGGGUGCGUAGACGGCAGCGCAAGUCUGGAGUGAAAUCCCAUGGCUUAACCAUGGAACUGCUUUGGAAACUGUGCAGCUAGAGUGGGGGAGAGGUAAGCGGAAUUCCUGGUGUAGCGGUGAAAUGCGUAGAUAUCAGGAGGAACACCAGUGGCGAAGGCGGCUUACUGGACUGUAACUGACGUUGAGGCUCGAAAGCGUGGGGAGCAAACAGGAUUAGAUACCCUUGUAGUC
RNAcentral lists this ribosomal RNA (440 nucleotides) under uncultured bacterium. RNAcentral's name for it is "partial 16S ribosomal RNA". It matches the Rfam family "Bacterial small subunit ribosomal RNA", at positions 338 to 795 of the family's 1533-position model. The record is from RNAcentral.